GUGUCAGCAGCCGCGGUAAUACGGAGGGUGCAAGCGUUAAUCGGAAUUACUGGGCGUAAAGCGCACGCAGGCGGUUGGAUAAGUUAGAUGUGAAAGCCCCGGGCUCAACCUGGGAAUUGCAUUUAAAACUGUCCAGCUAGAGUCUUGUAGAGGGGGGUAGAAUUCCAGGUGUAGCGGUGAAAUGCGUAGAGAUCUGGAGGAAUACCGGUGGCGAAGGCGGCCCCCUGGACAAAGACUGACGCUCAGGAGCGAAGGCGUGGGGGUCUUACAGGAUUAGAAACCCCCGUGGUCC
This 292-nucleotide ribosomal RNA is filed under the name uncultured prokaryote. RNAcentral describes it as "partial 16S ribosomal RNA". It matches the Rfam family "Bacterial small subunit ribosomal RNA", at positions 505 to 796 of the family's 1533-position model. The record is from RNAcentral.